GGAAUAUUGGACAAUGGGCGGAAGCCUGAUCCAGCCAUCCCGCGUGCAGGAUGACUGCCCUCUGGGUUGUAAACUGCUUUUGCAGGGGAAGAAACCCCCGAACUUGCUUCGGGGCUGACGGUACCCUGCGAAGAAGCACCGGCUAACUCCGUGCCAGCAGCCGCGGUAAUACGGAGGGUGCGAGCGUUAUCCGGAAUCACUGGGUUUAAAGGGUGCGUAGGCGGCCCGUUAAGUCAGGGGUGAAAUCCCGCAGCUCAACUGCGGAACUGCCCUUGAUACUGGCGGGCUCGGAUUGGCGCGAGGCGGGCGGAACGUGGCAUGUAGCGGUGAAAUGCUUAGAUAUGCCACAGAACACCGAUUGCGUAGGCAGCUUGCCAGAGCCAUAUCGACGCUGAGGCACGAAAGCGUGGGGAGCG
Molecule: ribosomal RNA, 416 nt
Filed under: uncultured bacterium
Lineage: Bacteria
Description: bacterial SSU rRNA
Rfam family: Bacterial small subunit ribosomal RNA
Source: RNAcentral